GACGAACGCUGGCGGCGUGCUUAACACAUGCAAGUCGAACGGAGAGGCCCUGCUUUUGUGGGGUGCUCGAGUGGCGAACGGGUGAGUAACACGUGAGUAACCUGCCCUUGACUUUGGGAUAACUUCAGGAAACUGGGGCUAAUACCGGAUAGGAGCUCCUGCUGCAUGGUGGGGGUUGGAAAGUUUCGGCGGUUGGGGAUGGACUCGCGGCUUAUCAGCUUGUUGGUGGGGUAGUGGCUUACCAAGGCUUUGACGGGUAGCCGGCCUGAGAGGGUGACCGGCCACAUUGGGACUGAGAUACGGCCCAGACUCCUACGGGAGGCAGCAGUGGGGAAUAUUGCACAAUGGGCGGAAGCCUGAUGCAGCAACGCCGCGUGCGGGAUGACGGCCUUCGGGUUGUAAACCGCUUUCGCCUGUGACGAAACGUGAGUGACGGUAAUGGGUAAAGAAGCACCGGCUAACUACGUG
This 468-nucleotide ribosomal RNA is filed under the name uncultured bacterium. Its description in RNAcentral is "partial 16S ribosomal RNA". It matches the Rfam family "Bacterial small subunit ribosomal RNA", at positions 28 to 507 of the family's 1533-position model. The record is from RNAcentral.